GUGCCAGCAGCCUGCGGUAAUUCCAGCUCCAAUAGCGUAUAUUAAAGUUGUUGUGGUUAAAAAGCUCGUAGUUGAACCUUGGGCCUGGCUGGCCGGUCCGCCUCACCGCGUGCACUGGUCCGGCCGGGCCUUUCCCUCUGUGGAACCCCAUACCCUUCACUGGGCGUGGCGGGGAAACAGGACAUUUACUUUGAAAAAAUUAGAGUGCUCCAGGCAGGCCUAUGCUCGAAUACAUUAGCAUGGAAUAAUAAAAUAGGACGCGCGGUUCUAUUUUGUUGGUUUAUAGGACCGCCGUAAUGAUUAAUAGGGACAGUCGGGGGCAUCAGUAUUCAACUGUCAGAGGUGAAAUUCUUGGAUCAGUUGAAGACUAACUACUGCGAAAGCAUUUGCCAAGGAUGUUUUCAUUAAUCAGGAACGAAAGUUAGGGGAUCGAAGACGAUCAGACACCGUCGUAGUCUUAACCAUAAACUAUGCCGACUAGGGAUCGGACGGUGUUAUUCAUGACCCGUUCGGCACCUUACGAGAAAUCAAAGUGCUUGGGCUCCAGGGGGAGUAUGGUCGCAAGGCUGAAACUUAAAGAAAUUGACGGAAGGGCACCACCAGGGGUGUGCCUGCGGCUUAAUUUGACUCAACACGGGAAACUCACCAGGUCCAGACACAAUAAGGAUGACAGAUUGAGAGCUCUUUUCUUGAUUUUGUGGUGGUGGUGCAUGGCCGUUCUUAGUUGGUGGGGGUGACUUGUCUGCUUAAUAGCGAUAACGAACGAGACCUUAACCUGCUAAAUAGCUCACAUUGCUUCGGCAGUGCGCUGGCUUUUAGAGGGACUUUCGGCUCAGGC
RNAcentral lists this ribosomal RNA (838 nucleotides) under uncultured fungus. Its description in RNAcentral is "SSU rRNA". It matches the Rfam family "Eukaryotic small subunit ribosomal RNA", at positions 564 to 1434 of the family's 1831-position model. Lineage: Eukaryota; Fungi. The record is from RNAcentral.